UUCUUUUUUUGCAGAAUCACAGAGAAGAGAUUAGUGAGAUGUCAUCUAGGCCACCCCUGUGCCCCAAGCCAGAGCCCACUAUACCUAAAUCAUUCCUGACAGAUGUUUGUCUACUCUUUAAAACCUCCAAUGAUGCAGAUUCCACAGCCUCUCUAGCUAUGCAGGAGAACUUCAGAGAAAAUUAGAAAUCAUCUUCUUCAUCUAAUCUACUCCAAAAGGGAUUAGCUCAGGAAGGAAAUCACCACAUGCUACAGCAAUUUAAAAGAGAAAAAUCCAGACAUCUUUCCUCAUGGGUGAUUGAAAGAGACUACUAAAGAUUUUCUACAAUAUCCAACCAACCUAAAAAGAAGAAAUGGAACAAAUUACACCCAAUCACAAAACAACCAUCAGAGAAACAACACUAACACCUUACGGCAUUGCAAUCUCAGACAUGAUGAAACUGAAAGCAGCAACCAACCCUCAAAUAUCAUCACCCUCUCCACGCACACGCUUACCAAAGCUGAAAAAACUGUACUCUCUAAAGGCCUGAAUUUCUGUCCAUAAAAAUACCUUAAUAAAAUACUUCAAUGUAGAGAACUAGAAGAAUUCUUCCAACGCCUUCACCUGAAGGAAUAUCUCCAACAACAAUUCAUCCUCUGACAACAUUGAGGAAAAGAUCUACCUCCCCCAAAACAUCAGACUGGACACCUCGCAGUGGAUGAAACGCUAACCUUGACUGCUAUAUUGACUGCUUCAGGGAAAGAAUGAACACUAAAAUAAUCAACAACACACACCACCAUAAUGACCUCUCCAUAGAUCUCUAAUAUCUAACCACCAAAUGGUAAUAAAACUAGCAGAUAAAGGAGGAGCAUAGUCAUCUUUAACCAUGAAGACUACAUAUAAGAUGCCAACAGACAACUCUCUGACACCACCUACUACAAAAAAAACUACAGAAAGAUCCUACUCCCCUUUUCACUUUGAAACUCAAAACUACCAUCAAGUCAUUUCCAUCAGAACUACAAGAAAAGUUACAGACCUUAAUCCCGUCCCCUCUCCCCCUGCUACCUAACCCAGGGACUUUUUACAUGCUCCUUAAAAUCCACAAACAAGGGAACCCUGGCAGACCUAUCAUAUCCAAUCAUGCAACCCUAACUGAAGAAACAUCAGGUUUCAUCGAGUCAAUCCUAAAACUGCUUGUCACUCAAAGAGCAAGUUUUGUCCAAGACACAGACUUCCUACGAUAAUUUAAAAACAUAGACCACCUUCCCAGCAACCAAGGUUCCCUCUAAGGUAUGCGCAUGCAUGGCCACACACAAGUAAAAAUCUUGCUGCGCACAAACUUUUUCAGGUUGCGCACCCACACAGAGGAACUGGGCGCAGAGUGUGGUGGAGGCACUGGGGCCAGCAUGGGACACUUACCGAAGAUAAGCGCCUCACUCCAGGGCAGGCAGCAGCUCCUCCCCAAGGCGGGACGGGGGGCUGGGGCUGGGGCUGGCGUGGGCUCCGCCAGCUCUGGGGGACUGCUUUACACCCCCGCAUCACCUUGGGAAGUGAGGAGGCACAUGGCAUCAGGGCUGGGGAGCAAAGCAAUUUCCUGGAGCCAGCGGAGCCCGUGGAGCAGUUCCCAGCCCCUGUCCCUGCCUCACCAUGCCUCUGGGAGCGAGGAGGCACAUGGCAUCAGAGCUGGGAAGUGGAGCAGUUCCCUGGAGCCGGCAUAGCCCAUGCCAGCCCCCAGGCCCCAUCUGUACCCAAGUGUGCGUGUGUGUGCACACUGUGGUUGUCUAAACUUCAACACAGAGGUAGAGCUCAAAGGGGAAGUACUGACAAGAUACCAAUACUUCCUCCCAGAAGUAUAUACCGUUUGAGAAUACAGAGGUGAACAGGAUGAAAAACUCAGUUAUAAGCGAUCAGCUGAUUUUUUUCUCCCCAGUCUGAUAUCCACACCUAAUGGCAUUAAUCUGGACAUUCAAAGUGAAGGGAAACCCGUGAUACCCAAAUGGAAUCAGCAAAUACUUUAAGUGAUGAGAUACUUUUAAUGAGAGCAGAGCUAUUGAUGAUCCAGUUCCAGACAACAUUUCAGGUGCCUGUCUUAUACUCUUGUCUUACCCUAAUUCAAUGACGCUCAACCUCCAGGACACAGAGCCGGGUCAUCUGGCCUGUAGGCUCCCUAAAGGUCUGGAAGUUUGAUGUCAGGGGAACAGCAGCACUGUUAAUACAAUUAUACUCUCCUUAGGGACAUUUACUGGCAGACUGCACUGAAAGGGGUAGGUGGGACCGAAGCCACGCUCACGGACCACUACUCCUUUGAGGGAACAUUGCCAGCAACACCCUCCUAGCCACAAUGGAUGUUAUCAGCUUAUAUACCAACAUCCCACGGCAGGGUAGCAUCCAAGCCUGCCUUACAUACCUACAAGAGCAAAAUGACAACUCAGAGUACAGACCUAAAGAUAUUACUGACCUUAUACACUUCAUCUUCACACACAACAACUUCACUUUCAAUAACCAACACUUCCUCCAGACCAUGGGCAUGGCUAUGGGCACUAAAAUGGCCCCACAGUAUACAAACCUUUUUGAGUCACCUGGAAGAAGAAGUCCUCAAGGACUGGACUAUCAAACCCUUGCUAUACUUAAGAUAUAUCAAUGACAUCUUCUUCAUUUUGACUGAAAACUUGCAUCUCUGAUUGAAUUCCAUCAGAAAUUCAACAAUCAUCACCCCUCCAUCAGACAAUCUCUUGAAUACUCCAGCAUCAACAUCUCCUUUUUAGACAUGAUGAUCAAUAUCCAGAAUGGUAAAAUAUAGACCACAAUAUACAAGAAACCCAUGGACCAACAUACGUAUCUGCACAGAACCAGCAAUCACCCUGAACACACCAAGAAAGCUGUAAUAUACAGCCAAGCCCUCAGAUACCACUAAAUUUGCACUGAGAACACCUGUGAUUGCUCCCUCACAAAUUUCAAAACGGCUUUCACUCAACAAGGACACUUCUCCAAAGAGAUAGACUGCACUUUUGAAAGAGCCAGCCAGAUACCACAUGAAGAAUUGCUGCACUACAGAAGAAAAACCCCAUGAAUUGCACACCACUGGUUAUGACAUAUCACCCCCCUCCUAGAACCUAUAAGGAAAACCCCCAAACAAUUGCAACCCAUACUAGAAUAAGACCUUCCCAAAGGUCUUGAAGAGUACAGUCUCUUCUUAAAGAUAUCUUCCCAGAAUGACCCAUCCUAGCCUUUAAACAAGCACCAAACCUCACUAACUGCAUCACCAGAAGCAAACUUCCUAUGGCCCAAAAUAUACCAAAUGGAUCCAGACCAUGCCAAGACAAGAAAUGUAAAACCUGACAACACAUUUCCACCACCCCCACAAUUACUACACCCCACAAUAGAACCAUCAGCAUUCCUGGAUCUUACAGCUGCACCUCUACAAAUGUAAUAUAUCUCAUCCAAUGCACCAAAUGCCCUGAUGGAAAAUAUGUAGGAGAGACGAAACAACUGCGCACCACAAUGAAUGCAUAUCAGAAAUCUAUCAAGACAAGAAUACCCAAUUACCUGUGGGGGCAUAUUUCUCACAAGAAAACCACCCUCUCUCCAAUCGUAGUUCUAAUCCUCAAAGUGAAUUUACAAGACACCUUUCACAGACAAGCCUACCAACUUCACUUCCUCAACCUACUGGAUACAAAAAUCAUGGACUAAAUAUAGACAUUGGAUUUAUGACGCAUUAUAACCUGCCUAACAUUUGACUCCCCAGGUACCUCUCCACUAUUUACCAGCUACAUUCAUUCCCUUCCCCCCCACCCCAACCUGUCUCUCACCCACUGACUCCUUAAUUUACAUCUUCACUGACUGGCUUUCUUGCAUGCAUACCAGCUGCUGGCUUCUUUACUAUUCAUUCCAUCUAGGAAGAGCACACACUAACUGCAGAUGCUUCCUCAGUCUGACACAGGGUAUUUGUACCCCAAGGCUUGCAAAGAAGAAUCUUUCCAACUAUAUGAGUUGAUCUAAUAAAAGUUAUCAGAUUUACCCAAAGAACCUUGUCUGCCUAUGUUCUUAGACCAGCAUGGCUACCACCUAUACCCCUGGUUUAGUUAAUGCUUUUGGAGAAUGC
This is a long non-coding RNA of Alligator mississippiensis (American alligator), 4081 nucleotides long. RefSeq lists it as uncharacterized. The record is from RefSeq and is a predicted model, not a curated record. The transcript has 3 exons. NCBI's taxonomy places the organism in Eukaryota, Metazoa, Chordata, Crocodylia, Alligatoridae.